Molecule: transfer RNA, 70 nt
Filed under: Melanogrammus aeglefinus (haddock)
Lineage: Eukaryota; Metazoa; Chordata; Actinopteri; Gadiformes; Gadidae
Also listed under: 1 other name
Description: tRNA-Pro
Rfam family: tRNA
About the family: Transfer RNA (tRNA) molecules are approximately 80 nucleotides in length.
Source: RNAcentral
CAGAGGGUAGUUUAAUUUAGAAUUCUAGCUUUGGGAGCUAGUGGUGGGAGUUAAAAUCUCUUCUCUCUGA